UACGUAGGGGGCGAGCGUUGUCCGGAAUCAUUGGGCGUAAAGAGCGCGUAGGCGGCCCGGUAAGUCCGCUGUGAAAGUCAAAGGCUCAACCUUUGAAUGUCAGCGGAUACUGCCGGGCUAGAGUCCGGAAGAGGCGAGUGGAACUCCUGGUGUAGCGGUGGAAUGCGCAGAUAUCAGGAAGAACACCAACGGCGAAGGCAGCUCGCUGGGACGGAACUGACGCUGAGGCGCGAAAGCGUGGGGAGCGAACAGG
RNAcentral lists this ribosomal RNA (253 nucleotides) under uncultured bacterium. RNAcentral describes it as "partial 16S ribosomal RNA". It matches the Rfam family "Bacterial small subunit ribosomal RNA", at positions 524 to 776 of the family's 1533-position model. The record is from RNAcentral.